UACGUAGGGUGCGAGCGUUGUCCGGAAUUAUUGGGCGUAAAGAGCUCGUAGGCGGUUUGUCGCGUCGGCCGUGAAAACUUGGGGCUUAACCCCAAGCCUGCGGUCGAUACGGGCAGACUUGAGUUCGGCAGGGGAGACUGGAAUUCCUGGUGUAGCGGUGAAAUGCGCAGAUAUCAGGAGGAAUACCGAUGGCGAAGGCAGGUCUCUGGGCUGACACUGACGCUCAUGCACGAAAGCGUGGGGAGCAAACAGA
This 253-nucleotide ribosomal RNA is filed under the name uncultured bacterium. Its description in RNAcentral is "partial 16S ribosomal RNA". It matches the Rfam family "Bacterial small subunit ribosomal RNA", at positions 524 to 776 of the family's 1533-position model. The record is from RNAcentral.